Long non-coding RNA from Panthera uncia (snow leopard), 1144 nucleotides. RefSeq lists it as uncharacterized. The record is from RefSeq and is a predicted model, not a curated record. The transcript is spliced from 2 exons. Lineage: Eukaryota; Metazoa; Chordata; Mammalia; Carnivora; Felidae.
AGCAUCUUGCAUUUUGUUCCAAGUUUUCAAAUGUACCCGAACAUCAUGUUGACAUAUCUUGUUCCUUCUAACUUUCUACGUAUAAUCAACCAGGCUCUAACCACUGAGCUCAUGGCUCGGUGUGUGAAUAGACAGCAUGGUACUGGCCAUCCAGGUAGAUGGAUGAACAUUUGGGCAGGUCCCAUUCCUCCUUCACAAACACUGGCCCAGGGAACCCCUGCGUAUCUCUGGUGCACACAGCAGACCUAGAACUGCAGGGACACAGGGCGUCUCUAUUCCUCCAACCGCGGGGACAUGGGGUGUCUAUGUUCACUUUUGCUAUGAGCUGCAGCCAGCUCUUAGGAGCAGCCGGACUAAUUUACUGCCCGGAGACAGGUCAUGGCCCCACUCUCCACGUUCGUGCGCUUCCUUGGAUUUUUGACGUUCCCAGGUUGCUGCCCCCGCGGUGUGCAUCACCCCCUCCCCCUCCUCGGGCCCCGCCGCAGCACUGGGAACCCGGGUAAAGCCCACUGGCGUCAAUCGGCAGUCACUAAGUCCCGCCGUCCUUGUCCUCAUUCUACCCUGCCUAAUAUGACCCUGGAUUCUGGAACUUCAGUUUCCCGUGGCCUCACUCGGAAUUCCCUGAGCCCUCCCCGCGGUCCUGGUCUCCGCUCCUUCGUGUCCGCGCCCUGGAGCCCUCACCUGAGCAUCUAGCGAGGGGACAGAGACCCCUGGCGGCCGAAAAGGGUGAGAAAAACCAGAGCCGCAGAGAAGUUUGUGAAAAUUAAUAAAGGGAAACUUUCCUGAAAUGGAGUACAGCAGCUCUCAAGACUUACCACUAGACUCAAGGGUUGUCAGUUACAGAUCCUCAACAGAAGCAUCAACAGGAAAGAAUCAUCAAUUGUAGGCCUCAACAGAGAAAGCUGGGCAUUGUAUCUCCUACAAGAAACUGACCACCCAGCUACUCCACCAAUGAGAAGCCUUCAUCACCCUGAACGCUUGUCUUUCUCCAGUGAUCUCCUUCAAAACAACCCCUCCCAGCUUCCUCCUUCUCCAUAUGAUAAUGUUUCUCUCCUUUGUUGGACUAGCCUAUGGUUGUUGCCCCAGCUUGAAUUGCAGUAUUCUGGUAUUCCCUAAUAAACCCAUUUUUGCUGGGAACAUGAAA